Molecule: long non-coding RNA, 785 nt
Organism: Suricata suricatta (meerkat)
Lineage: Eukaryota; Metazoa; Chordata; Mammalia; Carnivora; Herpestidae
Exons: 4
Source: RefSeq, a predicted model, not a curated record
GGCAAAGCCAUGGCAGAGAUAGGCGAGUGACAAGUUGGAACGAGGGCUGCGUGGAUAGAGCGAAGCUGCAUUUGAAGGACUUUUGAUGCCAGUCUGAGGGACGGUGGGGAAGCACGAGCCAAAGCCAGACGUCCGAUCUCAGAUUUUAAUUGGUACUUUUUAAAGAUGUGAAUACACCUAUAACCUCAUUAUAACUUGUUCAGCUACAUAUUUACAAAGUUUGCUGAAGAGUGGUUCACUUUCUGGAAAGAAGAUGUCAGGGUGAUCAAAUCAGCUACAAAAUCAGUUGCACUCUUGCCAACCUGCAAAACCAAUUUUCUCCCUUCCGUCAAAGCGAAUUGGAGAACUAGAAAUGAGUAUGUUCACAAGAAGCCAGGGACCAGGGAUGGGAUGCCGGUUGAUACCGUCUGUCUUGCAGAACUGAUGUCAGAUGUGAGUUAACAGAUCCUUCUGGCUUAAUGGCCUGUGAGGAAGGAGGCUCUCCCCUGUCAGCACCACUUGGAAAUAACCCGGGAAGAAUUCUGGUUGGCCUCGCCCGGGCUCGGUGGCUGGGGAGGGGGUGGGAGCAGUUACCAGCAGAAGAGAAGUGGGGGUAGCAGGGCCUGGACCACUGGAGACGUUAGUACCCUGAUUCGUGUCUACCACACCUACGGUGUCACCUGACCUUCCCACCCCACAGUGAGUCUCCAGCAUGUGUCACUUAACCCUGUCUGUUAACAGGCACAGGCUAAUCGAUGUUCCUAUGAAAAAUAGGAGAAUAACUCUCUGUUACUAAAUCCCAGAGA